Molecule: transfer RNA, 66 nt
Filed under: Cavia porcellus (domestic guinea pig)
Lineage: Eukaryota; Metazoa; Chordata; Mammalia; Rodentia; Caviidae
Rfam family: tRNA
About the family: Transfer RNA (tRNA) molecules are approximately 80 nucleotides in length. Their secondary structure includes four short double-helical elements and three loops (D, anti-codon, and T loops). Further hydrogen bonds mediate the characteristic L-shaped molecular structure. tRNAs have two regions of fundamental functional importance: the anti-codon, which is responsible for specific mRNA codon recognition, and the 3' end, to which the tRNAs corresponding amino acid is attached (by aminoacyl-tRNA synthetases). tRNAs cope with the degeneracy of the genetic code in two manners: having more than one tRNA (with a specific anti-codon) for a particular amino acid; and 'wobble' base-pairing, i.e. permitting non-standard base-pairing at the 3rd anti-codon position.
Source: Rfam by way of RNAcentral
GUUUUAGCUCAAUGGUACAGCACUAGCUUUGCAUGCAUAAGGCCCUGGGUUCAAUUCCCAGGAACA